AUUGAACGCUGGCGGAAUGCUUUACACAUGCAAGUCGAGCGGCAGCGCGGGGCAACCUGGCGGCGAGCGGCGAACGGGUGAGUAAUACAUCGGAACGUGCCCAGACGUGGGGGAUAACUACUCGAAAGAGUGGCUAAUACCGCAUACGAUCUACGGAUGAAAGCGGGGGAUCGCAAGACCUCGCGCGUCUGGAGCGGCUGAUGGCAGAUUAGGUAGUUGGUGGGAUAAAAGCCUACCAAGCCAACGAUCUGUAGCUGGUCUGAGAGGAUGAUCAGCCACACUGGGACUGAGACACGGCCCAGACUCCUACGGGAGGCAGCAGUGGGGAAUUUUGGACAAUGGGCGAAAGCCUGAUCCAGCCAUUCCGCGUGCAGGAUGAAGGCCCUCGGGUUGUAGAGCUCUUUCGGCGGGGAAGAAAUUGCACGGGUUAAUACCCUGUGUAGAUGACGGUACCCGAAUAAGAAGCACCGGCUAACUACGUGCCAGCAGCCGCGGUAC
RNAcentral lists this ribosomal RNA (498 nucleotides) under uncultured bacterium. RNAcentral describes it as "bacterial SSU rRNA". It matches the Rfam family "Bacterial small subunit ribosomal RNA", at positions 29 to 523 of the family's 1533-position model. The record is from RNAcentral.